RNAcentral lists this ribosomal RNA (274 nucleotides) under uncultured bacterium. RNAcentral's name for it is "partial 16S ribosomal RNA". It matches the Rfam family "Bacterial small subunit ribosomal RNA", at positions 523 to 796 of the family's 1533-position model. The record is from RNAcentral.
AUACGGAGGGGGUUAGCGUUGUUCGGAAUUACUGGGCGUAAAGCGCACGUAGGCGGACUGGAAAGUUGGGGGUGAAAUCCCGGGGCUCAACCCCGGAACUGCCUCCAAAACUUCCAAUCUAGAGAUCGAGAGAGGUGAGUGGAAUUCCAAGUGUAGAGGUGAAAUUCGUAGAUAUUUGGAGGAACACCAGUGGCGAAGGCGGCUCACUGGCUCGAUACUGACGCUGAGGUGCGAAAGCGUGGGGAGCAAACAAGAUUAGAGACCCCAGUAGUCC